CCUUGUCACCCUGAACAUACCCCAUCUCCUCUGCUUGUUGAAAGGAAGCAGGAUGAAGCCAGGUUAGCACUUGGAUGGGAGAUCAGUAGAGAAUACCAGGGAUGUCCAGGGA
RNAcentral lists this ribosomal RNA (112 nucleotides) under Pogona vitticeps (central bearded dragon). The record is from RNAcentral. Lineage: Eukaryota; Metazoa; Chordata; Lepidosauria; Squamata; Agamidae.